Molecule: ribosomal RNA, 221 nt
Filed under: uncultured bacterium
Lineage: Bacteria
Description: partial 16S ribosomal RNA
Rfam family: Bacterial small subunit ribosomal RNA
Source: RNAcentral
UACGCAGGGUGCAAGCGUUGUCCGGAAUUAUUGGGCGUAAAGCGUGCGCAGGCGGUUAUGUAAGACAGUUGUGAAAUCCCCGGGCUCAACCUGGGAAUUGCAUCUGUGACUGCAUAGCUAGAGUACGGUAGAGGGGGAUGGAAUUCCGCGUGUAGCAGUGAAAUGCGUAGAUAUCGGAAGGAACACCAGUGGCGAAAGCGGCUUCCUGGUCCAGCACCGAC